Molecule: non-coding RNA, 77 nt
Filed under: Gordonia bronchialis
Lineage: Bacteria; Bacillati; Actinomycetota; Actinomycetes; Mycobacteriales; Gordoniaceae
Also listed under: 1 other name
Description: Fluoride sequence
Rfam family: Fluoride riboswitch aptamer (crcB RNA motif)
Source: RNAcentral
UGAUCGUCGGGUGAUGGAUCUCCGCCCGGAGGGUUUCCUCCGAACCGCCGAUGUCGGCUGAUGGCUCCUGUUCCGAU